Molecule: ribosomal RNA, 492 nt
Filed under: uncultured bacterium
Lineage: Bacteria
Description: partial 16S ribosomal RNA
Rfam family: Bacterial small subunit ribosomal RNA
Source: RNAcentral
AGUGAACGCUGGCGGUAGGCCUAACACAUGCCAGUCGAACGGCAGCACAGUAAGAGCUUGCUCUUACGGGUGGCGAGUGGCGGACGGGUGAGGAAUACAUCGGACUCUACUUUUUCGUGGGGGAUAACGUAGGGAAACUUACGCUAAUACCGCAUACGACCUACGGGUGAAAGCAGGGGAUCUUCGGACCUUGCGCGAUUGAAUGAGCCGAUGUCGGAUUAGCUAGUUGGCGGGGUAAAGGCCCACCAAGGCGACGAUCCGUAGCUGGUCUGAGAGGAUGAUCGGCCACACUGGAACUGAGACACGGUCCAGACUCCUACGGGAGGCAGCAGUGGGGAAUAUUGGACAAUGGGCGCAAGCCUGAUCCAGCCAUACCGCGUGGGUGAAGAAGGCCUUCGGGUUGUAAAGCCCUUUUGUUGGGAAAGAAAAGCAGCAGGUUAAUACCCCGCUGCUCUGACGGUACCCAAAGAAUAAGCACCGGCUAACUUCGUG